This is a long non-coding RNA of Mauremys mutica (yellowpond turtle), 3759 nucleotides long. RefSeq lists it as uncharacterized. The record is from RefSeq and is a predicted model, not a curated record. The transcript has 3 exons. NCBI's taxonomy places the organism in Eukaryota, Metazoa, Chordata, Testudines, Geoemydidae.
UUGGUUUGUUCCACCGGCCACACCUGUGCUGGUGGCUGUAGCCUGCACCAUGUCUCUGCGGGGCGCGGUGGCAAGUCGAGUUGUUCCCCUGUGAGCGUCGGGAAGCGGGUGUUUCACACGCACCGCCGCGGAAGCAGCUAAUGCAGUACCUAAGGACUCCAGCUGAAAUCAAGGCCCCUUUGUCUAGGCUUGGUACAAACAUAUAGGAAGAGAGAGUCCCUGCUGAAGACACAGGGUUGUGGGGAAGGGAUAUGACCUACAACAGAGUGAACAAUUUGAUGAUCUACAAAUGUCAUUAGGUGGGGAAACUGAGGGAAAGAUUUUCAUCAAUUUGCCAGUGCUGAUGCAGGAAGUCUGUGACAGAACCGCACAUAGUACCCAGAUCUUCUGAUUCCCAUGUCUGUGUUCUGACUACUGUGUUCCCAUAUCUGUCCUCUCACAUCUAGAGCAUAUAUGCUUUUUUAAAAUAAUUUAUAUGGUCUGUGUAGAUGUUAUUUCCUUUUAGUAUUUAAAUGGGCAGCAGUUAGUGCUAACACAGACGUGAUUGAAUUAAGUGGGAAUGCAGUAAAAUUCACUAAUACCUUUAAAAUGAGGGUGGAGAAAUUUCAGGUUGCUGAUAAAGCUCUAGGGUUGCCAGGUGUCCGAGUGAGAUAACACUCCAAUCAGGCAACCUCAUUAGCUAAUAAGAACUGUACUUAUCAUCCUAUUGACACCCAGAGUGAAGUCUUUUGGCACUCAUCCUGUUCUCUGCCACAGUAACUAUCUCUAGUUCCAGGCAAGCAGGUUGCAGAUGCAUAUUCUUCCUUAGGGUCAUGUGUUUCUGACAGUCUUUAAUAGCACUGUAUUUUUGCAGUUCAAUACCUUAUCCUUUAGAUGGCAUUAGAUCCUUUAACAUGUUAGAAAAAUAACAACACUCACCAUAUUGAAGUGUGAGAUGAGGGUAAAUGAGUACAGCAGUAACUUUAGACACUUUGCUGGAAGGAAUGCAGCCAAUACUUGUUGACAGGAAACCAUAAGUAUUAAAUAAAGGCCUAGAUCCUUGGCUACAGGCAAGGAGGAGGCAGCACAAUUUGUGAGUGUAGGGUUCAGAGGAGGCAAUCCUGGACUAGGUCGGUCCUCAGGCAUUGCACCAAUUGUUAACUAUCCCAAGGAGCAAAUAGAGCAAAUAGAGCAGCUGGGGAUUGCCAGAGUACAGGGAGUACAGGGAGGCCCCACCUAUACCCCGUUUUUUCCCCCGCCAUUCUCCCUGUGUCUGCUGCAGGGAGACAUAAGAUUGAGCUGUUAUGCAGGAUCUAUGCCAUCAGAGUUUCCUUGUAUGCUAGAGUGAUGCUUCAAUAGCUGGUUAUGCCAUAGUAGGUCCAGAUCUGUUGCUGGUGUGUAAAGUGGGUACACAAGGUAGGAUCCAAGAUUAAGAUGGUAAAAAGAAGUGUAACACACAAGACACUUUCGUUGAAAAUACAGUUGUGCAUCUGCACAUGAUCUUGUACGAACCACUUCUAGAAAAUUAAAUUUUAAACUAUUUUCCCAGUAUAUGAUCUUUCUAUUUAAUUUUGGACUCAUGCAUGUUUUCUAAGCAUAGGGCUCAAGUGUUCAUUUUAUGUAAAUUGCAUCAUACAUGCAGUUGAUGGAGCACUUAAGGGAUCGUGAUGCUGUACACCUUUCUACUCUCUUGAACACAGAAUCUGUUUUAAUGAUAUGCUAUUGUACAUGCCUUAAAUGUUGGGGAAUAGGACUCCGACUAUGAUAGUUGGGAAUGUACCUGUCUUAUUCAAAGAUCUUUCAACUAUGUGCUUCAGUUUUAAGUGUUAUCCCCAUUUCACAGAUGUGGAAACUGAAGUGCCAAGAGAUGGAGUGGCAGGUCCAAUGUCACACACAAAGUCUGUGUCAGAUUUGAAUAUAGAGCCCAGGUGGUUUCCCAAUUCCUUGUCCUGUGCUUUAACUGCCAAGCUAAUUCUCCAUUUAUCAUGGGUCUUCACGUACUACUGUAGUUGUUCUGUUCAGCGGAGGAGUCCUAUGCAGUGUUAAGAAAUUCUCUCUCCUAUUUCUAGGUCCAGAUUUGGAAGACAGGCCUUUAAAAUAUUUUAAAGGUCCGAAAUGACCUAACUGUUGAAACACACACACACAAAGAAUCUAUGCAACAUUGUCAACAUUCAUUUCUUCUUUUAUCUUUGUGUCACUUUGGGAAAAUUCUGACUCCAUGUAAUCAUUGUUUUCAUUGGGAUUCAUGAAGUCAGUGAGGUUGCAUCUGCUUACACCAGUCUGAAUUUGGCCCUUUUUUUCUAAAAUGAGCCUUUCAUAAUAAAGUACAAAUGAGAAGUGUGUAUCUCUGGCUGGCUUUUGGCUCUCUAAUAUAAAACAUUGCAGUUGUGUUGGCUUUCUUUGCAGUUAAAUCUGAGUUUGACUUAGUAAGGCUGUUGAAGGAAUGUCUUGUUUUAAUGCCAUGUUUAACUCUCACUUUUUUUUUUUGGUAAUUUAUUUACUCUGGAAAAUUGAACCAGAGUUCAGCAUCUGUUUCUCAAUGACAUUUUGUGUGGAUGUAUGUUUUGACCCAGUAUUACAUCUGGUUUCACUAAGGAACAUAGCAGUUAAGUAAUUAGCCUAAAGUCACUUAGUCAAUGGCUCACCCUGCCUGAAAAUGCUCUACUCUUCUGGCUCCUUGUCUUUUUGUCUAGGUCACAUUGGCUCCCAAAUUUAACUAAACCUUUAUUGAGACUUUGACAGACCCUUUCAUUCCGUAUAAUAAAUCACUUUUAUUUGGCAAGAUGUCUCUUCACAAGUCCUGCAUGAAAUUUCUACAAAAAAUAUUUCUAUAGUGCUAUACAAAAUCAUAAGAAAAGCCCCAGCAUCUGUUUACAGUCUGUUGGUUUGGAGCCGUCCGCCACGGGAACCGAGACAAGCGUUGCAGGAAGUGCGUCUACUCUGAUGAGACCCUGCUCCACGUCCUGUGCAGCUGCAAGCCCCUCUCCAGAGCCUGGCAGCUGCGCCACAACACCAUCCAGAACCGCAUGGUGAAAGUCAUCACACCGGGCCUGGUGGGGGUGGCCAUGAACUGUACCAUCCCGGGUACUGACAGCCAGCUGCGACCUGACAUCGUCAUCACUGACGAGGCCCAGAAAAAGAUCAUCCUCGUCAACGUCACGGUCUCCUUUGAGAACAGGACCCCGGCCUUUCGCAAACCCGAGCUCAGAAGCUGGAAAAGUAUGCUCCCCUGGCCGACACCCUGAGAGUGAAGGGCUACGAGGUCCAGAUGGACACCCUGAUUGUCGGAGCCCUGGGCACCUUGCAUAACUUGCAACGAGCAUGUGUUGUGGACCUGCGGAAUUGGUCGACGUUACGCACGGCUCAUGCGGCGCCUCAUGGUCUCAGACACCAUCCAAUGGUCCAGAGACAUCUACACCGAACACAUCACUGGCCACCAACAGUACCAGGAGGCGUGAGCCAGAGCGACAUCGUGCAUCAACUACGAGAAAGGGACCGUAUGGACCAUAUGAACUGGAACCAUAAACUCACUGAACAUUAAAUCUCACCAAACGAGGGUCAAUCCAUCCUCAUCAUAGUAUCCACUCAUUAUACUCCACACCUGAACAUAGUCUUUAUAUGAACAACAGACCCUCAUAUCUCAAUGUCUGUACUUUGGCCCAUUAACCUUUUACCCCCAGUCAAGGAUAUUGCAGAUCAUGUAUUCCUUACGCCAUCCGAUCUUAAACUGAAUUUCGCACCCCUUGAUAAUCUGUACGUUAUUCCCUUCUACGCUUAAAC